RNAcentral lists this ribosomal RNA (253 nucleotides) under uncultured bacterium. Its description in RNAcentral is "partial 16S ribosomal RNA". It matches the Rfam family "Bacterial small subunit ribosomal RNA", at positions 524 to 776 of the family's 1533-position model. The record is from RNAcentral.
UACGUAGGGCGCAAGCGUUGUCCGGAAUUAUUGGGCGUAAAGAGCUCGUAGGCGGCUUGUCACGUCGAUUGUGAAAGCCCGAGGCUUAACCUCGGGUCUGCAGUCGAUACGGGCUAGCUAGAGUGUGGUAGGGGAGAUCGGAAUUCCUGGUGUAGCGGUGAAAUGCGCAGAUAUCAGGAGGAACACCGGUGGCGAAGGCGGAUCUCUGGGCCAUUACUGACGCUGAGAUGCGAAAGCGUGGGGAGCAAACAGG